Molecule: long non-coding RNA, 1155 nt
Filed under: Equus asinus (donkey)
Lineage: Eukaryota; Metazoa; Chordata; Mammalia; Perissodactyla; Equidae
Description: lncRNA (ENSEASG00005029023.1)
Source: RNAcentral
AAAAAUUGGAAGUUACCAAGUUUUAAAUGGAGGGAAAAAGAUGUUGAUAGCUUUUAAGGAAACCAUUGGAUGGUUGAGGAAAGAAGCCUGGAAGCUCAGGGACUGGUUAGGGUGGGACAGUGGGAAAGAAAGUGGGUAGAAGAGAUGAGUAGAAGGACUUUGGCCUCUGAGCCUCAUCUGCCCUAGAUAUAAAAUAAGAUUGUUUAUUUUAAAUUAUGGCUACACGGAUUAAAUGAAAGAAUAUAAGGGAAAGGUCCAACAUAACGAAAUAGUACCAAGGUGGCUCUCAAAUGUUAGUUGAAUACAACUUUGAUGAACAAAAUUGUGAUACUGUUUUAUGAGACAGGGAAAAUGUGGAAGAGAAUUAAGCCUAGGAAUGAAGGCAAUAGUUCUUUGGGGGUGAGGAACUUAGCAAACACAGUUCUUAUAGUAAAGUUAGUGAUUUCAGCUCUAUCCACUGAUAAAAGACAUAAAAUAUUCCUUGUCCUCAAAGAUUAAAUCUAGUUGGAGACCUUACCAAUUAAUGGGAGCUCUGGGCUGUACAUACAUGGGCUGAGUCGUGCAGUCCCGAUAAUUCAGUACCAAAGUAGAAUAAAUUCAUUACAAGGCAAGUCCACAUUUAAUUUUUUAUGUAAGUGCUAAAAAUCAGAUUUUUCUGAGAUGGUUCCAAAAAGAUUAAAGCACAGUGUAAAAUAAUCUCUCUCUUUUUUUUUUACCAGGUAGCAUCUAGUACUAAUGAGUAUCGUCCAUUUGAGCUUGGAAGACAGCUUUUUUCAAUUCUACGUACUGAUUACAAAAGCAUUCUAAGGUUAAGGCAGUGAAAGGAACAGAGCUCCAACUUGAUCUGCUGUAAAAGGAGGUCUGAGCCAGCCUCUCGCAGAAAGAAAUUGCUAAUUGGGAAGCAGUGCCACCUGGUGGAGGAAGAGGCCCAUGCACGCAAGCAGAUGUCAUUUCCCACUGACCUAAUUUAUGGAAAAUUGAAUGGAAGACAGAAGACAUUUGAGAUUGUAAGCCUGUGCCCAAAAUCUUAAGGAAGGCAGGCAGCUGGCCAUAAAAGUAAUCUGAGCAGUCUCCUCUUUCAGCCUUUGCAAUCUAAGUUUGUGAUAAACAUCUUAAACGUGUGGAUGGUACGUGACGGUUUCCUUUGCACUUUCC